RNAcentral lists this ribosomal RNA (497 nucleotides) under uncultured bacterium. Its description in RNAcentral is "partial 16S ribosomal RNA". It matches the Rfam family "Bacterial small subunit ribosomal RNA", at positions 28 to 507 of the family's 1533-position model. The record is from RNAcentral.
GAUGAACGCUGGCGGCGUGCCUAAUACAUGCAAGUCGAGCGAACAGGCGAGGAGCUUGCUCCUCUGACGUUAGCGGCGGACGGGUGUGUAACACGUGUAUAACCUACCUAUAAUACUGGGAUAACUUCGGGAAACCGGAGCUAAUACCGGAUGAUCUAUUGAACCGCAUGGUUCAAUAGUGAAAUACGGUGGUGCUGUCACUUAUAGAUGGAUCUGCGCCGCAUUAGCUAGUUGUUAAGGUAACGGGUUACUAAGGCGACGAUGCGUAGCCGAACUGAGAGAGUGAUAGCCGACCUGGGAGGGGAGACAGGCACAAGGGUCCUACGAGAGGCAGCAGAAGGGAACGGGACGCAGUAGGGGAGAGCAUUACGGAGCAACGCGAAGCGUGAUGUGAAGGCCUUCGGAUCGUGAUAAUCUCCUACGAGGGAUAAACCACUGUGUAAGGAAACGUGGAGUUAUUGACGGUAACUGGUAAGGAAGCACCGGCUAACUACGUG